UUCACCAGCUUUCUUCCUGCUCUGCACUUAUGCUAAUGCCUGUUUGCUGCUGGAUAUGGCAUCUGCUAUAGAGCUCAUGUCUCCACGAUUCCAGACCUACAUGAGCUCCUCACAUCAUAUCAAUGUCUCCCACAGCCAAAGACCAUGAGGGUGGAGAUCAAUGCUGUGAAUACCAAGUGACGGGGAAAGUAUAUCACCUAUACAGCUGCAGGCUUCACACCCUGAGGACAAGGGGACCUGCUGGGGAGAAGGGUACCUUGAUGCUCCUGGGACCUACUGCAUAAUCUGGACGGAGCUUCGAUUUCGCGUCAACAUAUUUUUAUUACUGGAUUACUGCAUUUAUUUGUAAGGACUUGCGUCAAGCCGACUAUUGUUGGUCACUACUGGUAUUAUCCUGAAACAUACGCACUGUAGGGGUCCUCUGUAACAUUUACAUUUUUGCCAGUCCUUUGUGUAGUUCCAUUCUAUAUGGCCAUGAGUAUAUGGAAUGCUGCCAGAGAGGGUGUUGAAUACAGUUGCCUGGUUAGCAAGGGUCUCUCAGUGGCCGGACCUGUGCCUCUUUGAGGUACGGGUUCCAACUACGGUGGAGCCCCGAUGGAGACGGCUUUCCAGAUUGCUUUGUCCACAGUACAUGUGUAUAUCUUCCAGUGUGCAUAUUAAGGACCACACUCAUACAUACAUACAUGUAUAAGAUAUCAAGGACCUCUGUUCCAUAUAUUGCUUAUAUUUUUACAUAUUGUUUGUAUUGACACAUCUUGCUCUUAUUACAGUUCUCCCAAUAAUUUGUCCUCAUACAAGAUGGCGCUCCAUACGUUUGAGUCAUUAGCAUGCAUGCCAAGUGACUAUGAGAGCUAGUAUGGUUGUUCCCCUACAGCAAGAUGGAUGUGCUCUUCUCCUACCCUGAUAUGCCAGUUUAGCUGGAUGGGGAAAACCUGAGAGAGACUGCAACUGAGCAGAUGAAACAUUGCUUUUCUUGACAUAAGAUUUAA
Long non-coding RNA from Hyla sarda, 989 nucleotides. RefSeq lists it as uncharacterized. The transcript is spliced from 3 exons. The record is from RefSeq and is a predicted model, not a curated record. NCBI's taxonomy places the organism in Eukaryota, Metazoa, Chordata, Amphibia, Anura, Hylidae.